Daphnia carinata is the source of this 647-nucleotide long non-coding RNA. RefSeq lists it as uncharacterized. The transcript is spliced from 5 exons. The record is from RefSeq and is a predicted model, not a curated record. NCBI's taxonomy places the organism in Eukaryota, Metazoa, Arthropoda, Branchiopoda, Diplostraca, Daphniidae.
CGCAAGCGCAAAUAAAGCUCAGUCUUGUAUGUGCAGAAAGGUUUUAAGCAAACCAAAAAUACCGGAUCUUGAGGACUUGCAGUGAACGCAAAGAUAUAGCAAAAUCAAACACCACUCACGAAUGUCGCAUCGUUAAAAUUGAAGAGGAUUAGAGUUCAACAUGGCGACGAGAACACACCAAAUGUAAAGCCUAGACCACAGAAGGGAAUUUCAAUAAAAUCCUAGAAAUUUUCCUUGUGUUUGAAAAAUAGACUAGACCUGAAUUUGCCACCAUUUCAAGUACGUGUGUCUUGGAAGCAAUUGUGAAUGUUGUAUGCUUUUAGUAUACCGAGGAGGCACCUGCCAAGAAAAUAAAGCACAAAGUGAUUAACAUGUUCAGUUUUGUAACUUCACAGAAGGUGUCAAAGUCAAAUGUGCUGAAUAUGCUCAUAUUUUUGCACAAAUGAAAGAGAAAAGAAGGUGAAGUCCCUGGAGUUGCAGGUCUAUGCUAAGAACUUAAGGUCCAUGGAAAAGAUGGAAAAUGUCGAGCUCAUCUUGGAACAAGGACAGUAAACAAGGACUUUCAUUUAGGAUAUUCAUAGAAGAAUAAUGGCCAAUUUUUUUGGAAAGGACAUGCCUGAAUCGUGAAUAGAAGUUUUACAAGUAAA